GAGCCACUCAAGCUGGUGUGCAGGAGGAGACCCUCAAGGGCACACCAUGUGACGGGGUAGACUGGCCCCGCACUAGGACCAAGAGGGUUAACCCUUCCCUGCUGACAGAAGAAGCCAUGCCCCUGAGGCUCUGCUGGGCAUGCGCCAACCGGGAGUCAAGUAUAAAAGCCUGCAGAGCUGCUCAGUCAGGGCUGGUGGCUGAGGAAGGAGGAUGCCCAGUGGAGGCUCCAGCCCAGGAGCAGUUGCGACUCUUACCGGAGAGAGCUGAGGAGCCAGGGACUGGGACCGGAGGCCAGCAGCUGUUGGAAUCCCAGGGAGUGCCGGGUGCUGAAGAACCUGGAGACCCUGAUGCCACGGGGACUGCUACAUUUGGAGAACCGGGGGAAGAAACAAGGCAGCCCUCCCAAGAAACCUUCAGCAGAGGAUUGCAGAAUACCUCCAGGAAAGUUUCCUAGAGAUCUCUAUGGAGGAUUCCUGGAACAUCCCAGUGUUCAUAAACAAACUUUUCCUCAGGGCCCCCUCUGCCUAGCUAAACAGGGGAAUAAGAAGCCGAUACAAACUGUACCUGUGUUGGUUAUUUCAAUCCUUCUUCUACCCUGAUUAAAAAAGCAGAGCAUUACCUCAUGCCUUUCUGCAGCAUCGAAGCACAAUGAACAAGGCUACGUUUUAGUCACAGGUAAUUUUAAUAAGUCACAGACAGUAAACAAAAAUUCACAGCCAGUGACAUGUCCAUGACUUUUACUAAAAAUACCCGUGACUAAAACUUGGGAGGAGGCUGCUGGGGGGCCCCAUGGGUGCUGGAGGCAGGUGGGCAGUGGCCCAGCUCCCCCGCUGGAGUUGGGUUGUGUGUGGUGGGUCCGGCAGGCUCCCUACCUAGCACCAUACCGCCCCCACAGCUCCCAUUGACUGCCUCCCAACCAAUGCCCUGGGUGGAGGCAGUGCACAGAGCUGCCUGGCCACGCCUCCACCUAGCAGCUGAGCAAGGGGGACGUCACUGCUUCCAGGGAGCACCCAGGUAAGCGCUGCCCAGAGCCUGCCUCACCCCUCCCUUGCCUUCUGGUACGUGUGCCUCAGCUCCUUGAUCUUUGCAUGGCACUGUUGCGUGUCCCUAUCAUACCCCUUCUCCUCCAUGCCACAAGCAUGGUAUCAAAGUUCCUGCAGCUAGAGCAAAGCUCUGACAGCACAGACUCCUCUCUCCGAAAACCGAGCAGAUCCACCACUUCACUACACUGACACUACGUCGCUCUACCUACAUCGCCCUAAGCACCAUACCUUGUGGUGAGGUGAUUUUAUUAGGUUGGUGGAGCAGGAGAGUUCAGUUGGCAGGAGGAACAUUGCAGUGUGUACACCUCUAUAGUUAGUUCAAUGUACCUGCCUUCUGUCAACUUAACUUUGUAGGAUAGACGGGCCCUAAUACUCAGCACUUAGUAUAAUAUGUACUAUAUGUAACUAAGAGAAAAUAACAGAGUACACAGCAAUAAUACAGUACAAUAAAAGUGUCUG
Long non-coding RNA from Chrysemys picta bellii (western painted turtle), 1503 nucleotides. RefSeq lists it as uncharacterized. NCBI's taxonomy places the organism in Eukaryota, Metazoa, Chordata, Testudines, Emydidae. The record is from RefSeq and is a predicted model, not a curated record.